RNAcentral lists this ribosomal RNA (551 nucleotides) under uncultured Solirubrobacterales bacterium. RNAcentral describes it as "bacterial SSU rRNA". It matches the Rfam family "Bacterial small subunit ribosomal RNA", at positions 355 to 897 of the family's 1533-position model. The record is from RNAcentral. Lineage: Bacteria; Bacillati; Actinomycetota; Thermoleophilia; Solirubrobacterales.
UGGGGAAUCUUGCGCAAUGCGCGAAAGCGUGACGCAGCAACGCCGCGUGGGGGAAGACGGCCUUCGGGUUGUAAACCCCUUUCAGGAGGGACGAAGCCUCGGCGGUUAAUAGCCGAUCGGGGUGACGGUACCUCCAGAAGAAGCCCCGGCUAACUACGUGCCAGCAGCCGCGGUAAUACGUAGGGGGCAAGCGUUGUCCGGAAUCAUUGGGCGUAAAGCGCGUGUAGGCGGUUCGGUAAGUCGGCUGUGAAAGUCCAGGGCUCAACCCUGGGAUGCCGGUCGAUACUGCCGGACUAGAGUUCGGAAGAGGCGAGUGGAAUUCCCGGUGUAGCGGUGAAAUGCGCAGAUAUCGGGAGGAACACCAAUGGCGAAGGCAGCUCGCUGGGACGUUACUGACGCUGAGACGCGAAAGCGUGGGGAGCAAACAGGAUUAGAUACCCUGGUAGUCCACGCCGUAAACGAUGGGCACUAGGUGUGGGAGGUGUCGACUCCUCCCGUGCCGGAGCUAACGCAUUAAGUGCCCCGCCUGGGGAGUACGGCCGCAAGGCUAA